This 253-nucleotide ribosomal RNA is filed under the name uncultured bacterium. RNAcentral describes it as "partial 16S ribosomal RNA". It matches the Rfam family "Bacterial small subunit ribosomal RNA", at positions 524 to 776 of the family's 1533-position model. The record is from RNAcentral.
UACGUAGGGUGCAAGCGUUAAUCGGAAUUACUGGGCGUAAAGCGUGCGCAGGCGGUGAUGUAAGACAGGUGUGAAAGCCCCGGGCUCAACCUGGGAAUUGCAUUUGAGACUGCAUAGCUAGGGUGCGGAAGAGGGAAGCGGAAUUUCCGGUGUAGCGGUGAAAUGCGUAGAUAUCGGAAGGAACACCAGUGGCGAAAGCGGCUUCCUGGUCCAGCACAGACGUUCAGGCACGAAAGCGUGGGGAGCAAACAGG